Molecule: ribosomal RNA, 631 nt
Filed under: uncultured Actinomycetales bacterium
Lineage: Bacteria; Bacillati; Actinomycetota; Actinomycetes; Actinomycetales
Description: bacterial SSU rRNA
Rfam family: Bacterial small subunit ribosomal RNA
Source: RNAcentral
CGAACGAUGAAGUUCCUUCGGGAAUGGAUUAGUGGCGAACGGGUGAGGAACACGUGAGAAACCUGCCUUUCAUUCUGGGAUAACACCGGGAAACCGGUGCUAAUACCGGAUACUCCAUCUUGGCGGCAUCGCCGAGCUGGGAAAAAAUUUUGAUGAAAGAUGGUCUCGCGGCCUAUCAGCUAGUUGGUGAGGUAAGGGCUCACCAAGGCGACGACGGGUAGCCGGCCUGAGAGGGCGACCGGCCACACUGGGACUGAGACACGGCCCAGACUCCUACGGGAGGCAGCAGUAGGGAAUAUUGGGCAAUGGGCGCAAGCCUGACCCAGCGACGCCGCGUGAGGGAUGAAGGUCUUCGGAUCGUAAACCUCUUUCAGUAGGGAAGAAGCGAAAGUGACGGUACCUAAAGAAGAAGCACCGGCUAACUAUGUGCCAGCAGCCGCGGUAAUACAUAGGGUGCAAGCGUUGUCCGGAAUUAUUGGGCGUAAAGAGCUCGUAGGUCGUUUGUCGCGUCGAUUGUGAAAAUCUGAGGCUCAACCUCAGACCUGCAGUCGAUACGGGCAAACUAGAGUGUGGUAGGGGAGACUGGAAUUCCUGGUGUAGCGGUGGAAUGCGCAGAUAUCAGGAGGAACAC